GGAGAGGUGUCCGAGCGGCCGAAGGAGCACGACUGGAAAUCGUGUGUACCCGAAAGGUACCGUGAGUUCAAAUCUCACCCUCUCCGCCA
This 89-nucleotide transfer RNA is filed under the name Desulfovibrio sp. OttesenSCG-928-M16. RNAcentral's name for it is "tRNA-Ser". It matches the Rfam family "tRNA". From Rfam's summary of the family: Transfer RNA (tRNA) molecules are approximately 80 nucleotides in length. Their secondary structure includes four short double-helical elements and three loops (D, anti-codon, and T loops). Further hydrogen bonds mediate the characteristic L-shaped molecular structure. tRNAs have two regions of fundamental functional importance: the anti-codon, which is responsible for specific mRNA codon recognition, and the 3' end, to which the tRNAs corresponding amino acid is attached (by aminoacyl-tRNA synthetases). tRNAs cope with the degeneracy of the genetic code in two manners: having more than one tRNA (with a specific anti-codon) for a particular amino acid; and 'wobble' base-pairing, i.e. permitting non-standard base-pairing at the 3rd anti-codon position. Lineage: Bacteria; Pseudomonadati; Thermodesulfobacteriota; Desulfovibrionia; Desulfovibrionales; Desulfovibrionaceae. The record is from RNAcentral.